This 253-nucleotide ribosomal RNA is filed under the name uncultured bacterium. Its description in RNAcentral is "partial 16S ribosomal RNA". It matches the Rfam family "Bacterial small subunit ribosomal RNA", at positions 524 to 776 of the family's 1533-position model. The record is from RNAcentral.
UAUGGAGGGUGCGAGCGUUAAUCGGAAUUACUGGGCGUAAGGCGCACGCAGGCGGUUUGUUAAGCUAGAUGUGAAAGCCCCGGGCUCAACCUGGGAUGGUCAUUUAGAACUGGCAGACUAGAGUCUUGGAGAGGGGAGUGGAAUUCCAGGUGUAGCGGUGAAAUGCGUAGAUAUCUGGAGGAACAUCAGUGGCGAAGGCGACUCCCUGGCCAAAGACUGACGCUCAUGUGCGAAAGUGUGGGUAGCGAACAGG